AUCAACUUUCGAUGGUAGGAUAGAGGCCUACCAUGGUGGUAACGGGUAACGGGGUGUUAGGGCACGACACCGGAGAGGGAGCCUGAGAAACGGCUACCACAUCCAAGGAUGGCAGCAGGCGCGCAAAUUACCCAAUCCCGACACGGGGAGGUAGUGACAAUAAAUAACAAUACGGGGUUCUUUCGGAUUUCGUAAUUGGAAUGAGUACAAUUUAAAUCUCUUAACGAGGAACAAUUGGAGGGCAAGUCUGGUGCCAGCAGCCGCGGUAAUUCCAGCUCCAAUAGCGUAUAUUAAAGUUGUUGCAGUUAAAAAGCUCGUAGUUGAAUUUCGGGAUCAAAUUGUCGGUCGUGCCUCGGUACGUACUGGCGUUAUUGGUUCCUCCCUUCUGAAGAACCGCGAUGUCAUUAAUUUGGUGUCGCGGGGAAUCAGGACUGUUACUUUGAAAAAAUUAGAGUGUUUAAAGCAGGCUCGCGCUUGAAUACAUUAGCAUGGAAUAAUGAAAUAGGACGUUUGAUUCUAUUUUGUUGGUUUCUAGGAUCGACGUAAUGAUUAAUAGGGAUAGUUGGGGGCAUUAGUAUUCAAUUGUCAGAGGUGAAAUUCUUGGAUUUAUUGAAGACUAACUACUGCGAAAGCAUUUGCCAAGGAUGUUUUCAUUAAUCAAGAACGAAAGUUAGGGGAUCGAAGACGAUCAGAUACCGUCGUAGUCUUAACCAUAAACUAUGCCGACUAGGGAUCGGAUGAUGUUAAUUUUUUAAUGACUCAUUCGGCGCCUUACGGGAAACCAAAGUGUUUGGGUUC
RNAcentral lists this ribosomal RNA (798 nucleotides) under uncultured Glomeromycotina. RNAcentral describes it as "SSU rRNA". It matches the Rfam family "Eukaryotic small subunit ribosomal RNA", at positions 314 to 1114 of the family's 1831-position model. Lineage: Eukaryota; Fungi; Glomeromycota. The record is from RNAcentral.